GACGAACGCUGGCGGCGUGCCUAAUACAUGCAAGUUGAGCGCUGAAGGUUGGUCCUUGUACCAACUGGAUGAGCAGCGAACGGGUGAGUAACGCGUGGGGAAUCUGCCUUUGAGCGGGGGACAACAUUUGGAAACGAAUGCUAAUACCGCAUAAAAACUUUAAACACAAGUUUUAAGUUUGAAAGAUGCAAUUGCAUCACUCAAAGAUGAUCCCGCGUUGUAUUAGCUAGUUGGUGAGGUAAAGGCUCACCAAGGCGAUGAUACAUAGCCGACCUGAGAGGGUGAUCGGCCACAAUGGGACUGAGACACGGCCCAAACUCCUACGGGAGGCAGCAGUAGGGGAUCUUCGGCAAUGGACGAAAGUCUGACCGAGCAACGCCGCGUGAGUGAAGAAGGUUUUCGGAUCGUAAAACUCUGUUGGUAGAGAAGAACGUUGGUGGGAGUGGAAAGCUCAUCAAGUGACGGUAACUACUCAGAAAGGGACGGCUAACUACGUG
RNAcentral lists this ribosomal RNA (497 nucleotides) under uncultured bacterium. RNAcentral describes it as "partial 16S ribosomal RNA". It matches the Rfam family "Bacterial small subunit ribosomal RNA", at positions 28 to 507 of the family's 1533-position model. The record is from RNAcentral.